UCUGGGAUUAGAUACCCUGUUAUUAGAAACUUAAUUUAUAAAAAAUAGAUUAGUAUUAGAUUUAUUCUUAAAAUUUAAUAAAUUUGGCGGUAUUUUAAUCUAUUCAGAGGAACUUGUUUUAUAAUUGAUAAUCCGCAUUAUAUCUUACUUAAUUUUGUAAAAUUUGUAUAUCGUCGUCAUAAGAAUUUCUUAAUAAAGAAAAAAUUUUCUAAAAUUUUAAAUAUUAAUAAUGUCAGAUCAAGGUGCAGUUUAUGGUUAAGAAAAAAUGAGUUACAAUAAAUUUAUUUAUUAUGAAUAUAAAAAUUAAAAUUUUUAUUAAAGGUGGAUUUGUUAGUAAAAUAAUUUAUUACAUUUAUUUGAUUUAAGUAAUAAAAUAUGCACAAAUCGCCCGUCACUCUCUGA
Molecule: ribosomal RNA, 402 nt
Filed under: Ectrepesthoneura referta
Lineage: Eukaryota; Metazoa; Arthropoda; Insecta; Diptera; Mycetophilidae
Description: partial 12S ribosomal RNA
Source: RNAcentral